Molecule: ribosomal RNA, 556 nt
Filed under: Capronia acutiseta
Lineage: Eukaryota; Fungi; Ascomycota; Eurotiomycetes; Chaetothyriales; Herpotrichiellaceae
Description: eukaryotic LSU rRNA
Rfam family: Eukaryotic large subunit ribosomal RNA
Source: RNAcentral
GUACGGCGAGUGAGCGGUAACAGCUCAAAUUUGAAAUCUGGCCUCUUUUGGGGUCCGAGUUGUAAUUUGUAGAGGAUGUUUCGGGUACCGCCCCGGUCUAAAUUUCUUGGAACAGAAUGUCAGAGAGGGUGAGAAUCCCGUCUUGGACCGGCGGUAGGGCCCAUGUGAAACUCCUUCGACGAGUCGAGUUGUUUGGGAAUGCAGCUCAAAAUGGGUGGUAAAUUUCAUCUAAAGCUAAAUAUUGGCCAGAGACCGAUAGCGCACAAGUAGAGUGAUCGAAAGAUGAAAAGCACUUUGAAAAGAGAGUUAAACAGUAUGUGAAAUUGUUGAAAGGGAAGCGCUUGCAACCAGACUUGAGCGCGGCGGUUCCCCCUCCCUUUUGGGUGGGUUACUCCGUCGUGUCCAGGCCAACAUCGGUUCUGGGGGUCGGUCAAAGGCCCUGGGAAUGUACCUACACCUUCGGGUAUAGACUUAUAGCCCAGGGUGUCAUGCGGCCCCCCGGGACCGAGGAACGCGCUUCGGCUCGGAUGUUGGCGUAAUGGUUGUCAGCGACCCG